CCUACGGGAGGCAGCAGUGAGGAAUAUUGGUCAAUGGCCGAGAGGCUGAACCAGCCAAGUCGCGUGAGGGAAGAAUGUCCUAUGGAUUGUAAACCUCUUUUGUCAGGGAGCAAAGUCACCCACGUGUGGGUGUUGGAGAGUACAUGACGAAAAAGCAUCGGCUAACUCCGUGCCAGCAGCCGCGGUAAUACGGGGGAUGCGGGCGUUAUCCGGAUUUAUUGGGUUUAUAGGGUGCGUGGGCGGGUUAUCAAGUCAGCGGUAAAAUCGUGGAGCUAAACUCCAUCCAGCCGUUGAAACUGGUGAUCUUGAGUGGGCGAGAGGUAUGCGGAAUGCGUGGUGUAGCGGUGAAAUGCAUAGAUAUCACGAAGAACUCCGAUUGCGAAGGCAGUUCACUGGACUGCAACUGACACUGAGGCUCGAAAGUGUGGGUAUCAAACAGGAUUAGAUACCCCAGUAGUC
RNAcentral lists this ribosomal RNA (459 nucleotides) under uncultured bacterium. Its description in RNAcentral is "partial 16S ribosomal RNA". It matches the Rfam family "Bacterial small subunit ribosomal RNA", at positions 338 to 795 of the family's 1533-position model. The record is from RNAcentral.